UCUUGGGAUUUUGGUCUCCUUUCUUUUCCAAAUCCAUAUCGCCUUCCUUAUCUUGUUCUUCUUCGCCCAAAAUUACAGUUCACCUCCUAAACCAUGGCGGCGGCGUCGCUCUCGAUAACCCAAUUGUUUCUGUUCAAAAGAAGUUCCGUAGAGAUAGAAAGUUUGUUCCUUGUUCGGUUGCCGAAGAAACCCAAGUUCCAGAAGAAGCAGCAGAAGCAGAAGCAUCGGUUGUCGUUCCGGUCUCGCCUUCCGACGUUCUCACAAUGUUCUUUCAGGCUGAUGGAAUGAUGAAUGAAGCAUUGAUUCCUGCUAUUUCCGGGGCCCUACAAGUAAGUCUUUUAGUUGCAAUUGCAGGUAGAUCGAUUGACUGAUUUAGCAAAGUCUGUACCAGUUCACCGCUCAAAAGUCCAGACUAUGAGUGCUGAGGUGCUGGAUAGUAAUCCUUACAGUAGGCUGAUGGCACUUCAAAGAAUGGGAAUUGUUGAUAAUUACGGGAGUUCUCUGUUGCCAUUGUUGGAAUAGGUGGAGUGAGUUCCGUUGCAGCCGAAAUGUUAACAAGUGGAUCUGGCUAACAUGAAUAGGCUAUUCUUCCGUCCAGAGCAGGUGUUGUAAUUGAGGCCAGAGCUCAACUUGUUGGAAUCCAUGAGGAUAAUUCCACUCCAAUCGGAUAAUCUAAUGCACAACACAACCAGGAUUCAAACAUGUAGUAUUAAUGGCUAAUCCAAAUGCAGAAGAUUUUGCAUAGUUUCUCAGGUAUGAUUUAUUGGUUUUGUAUGUAGUUGUUCAAGUAUUCCAUUUAGUCUCAAUUUCAUGUUUAUAGGAAACAUAUCUUGAUCAUUCUUUUACAUAUCUUUAGAAUUGUCAAGAAUAUAGUUAAUCAUGAAAAGACAAUGUGUUGAUGCUGCCUAUUCUUGACAUGUAAAAAAUAUUAUUUUAUCACAACCUCUGACCAUGAACUGAA
Long non-coding RNA from Impatiens glandulifera, 961 nucleotides. RefSeq lists it as uncharacterized. The transcript is spliced from 5 exons. The record is from RefSeq and is a predicted model, not a curated record. NCBI's taxonomy places the organism in Eukaryota, Viridiplantae, Streptophyta, Magnoliopsida, Ericales, Balsaminaceae.